CAAAAAUGGCCUGAUGAUGGGGAAGCUGAAGUGAUAACCUUGAGGCAAUGCCCUGCAAGGAUGAGAGAUUCUCACAGAAACUAUGAAGGAGCUUCUUUCCAAACCUACACAGAAGAGUGGAUCAGGAGAGUAAAAUGCAUAGACUGUGGUAGACGUGGAUGUGCUGCUCAGAUCCCCUUUCAAGCAAGGACUCCCUGCUCAGCUGUGAAGAGUGUGUUCAGCUAAAAGCCUCCAGCUAGCUAACAUGCCGUGGGAGAGGGG
Long non-coding RNA from Ailuropoda melanoleuca (giant panda), 261 nucleotides. RefSeq lists it as uncharacterized. The record is from RefSeq and is a predicted model, not a curated record. The transcript is spliced from 3 exons. Lineage: Eukaryota; Metazoa; Chordata; Mammalia; Carnivora; Ursidae.